This 63-nucleotide transfer RNA is filed under the name Chaetoderma nitidulum. RNAcentral describes it as "tRNA-Val". Lineage: Eukaryota; Metazoa; Mollusca; Caudofoveata; Chaetodermatida; Chaetodermatidae. The record is from RNAcentral.
ACUAUAGUAUUGUAUUAUACAUCUAUAAUAUACUAUUAUACUAUAUCUUACCUUACUAUAGUA